RNAcentral lists this ribosomal RNA (1484 nucleotides) under uncultured Bordetella sp. Its description in RNAcentral is "partial 16S-23S ribosomal RNA intergenic spacer". It matches the Rfam family "Bacterial small subunit ribosomal RNA". Lineage: Bacteria; Pseudomonadati; Pseudomonadota; Betaproteobacteria; Burkholderiales; Alcaligenaceae. The record is from RNAcentral.
AGGUUUGAUCAUGGCUCAGAUUGAACGCUGGCGGGAUGCUUUACGCGCGUACUGCAAGUCGAACGGCAGCACGGACUUCGGUCUGGUGGCGAGUGGCGAACGGUUGAAGUAAUGUGCUCGGAACGUGCCUUCAAAUGGCGGGGGAUAACUACGCGGCGUAGCUAAUACCGCAUACGCCUUCGGGGGAAAGCGGGGGGACCUUCCGGGCCUCGCACUAUUAGAGCGGCCGAUAUCGGAUUGGCCUAGUUGGGUAGGGUAACAGCUCGCAGAGCGACGAUCCGUAGCUGGUUUGAGAGGACGACCAGCCACACUGGGACUGGACACAGCCGAACUCUACAGGGAGAGCAGCAGUGGGGAAUUUUGGACAAUGGGAAACCUGAUCCAGCCAUCCCGCGUGUGCGAUGAAGGCCUUCCGGGUUGUAAAGCACUUUUUGGUAGAGACAAGAAACGGCACGGGAUAAUGCCCGUGCAGACUGGUAAUACCUGCAGAAUAGCACCGACUGGACCACACGUGCCAGCAGCCGCGGUAAUACAUGAGGUGCAAGCGUUAAUCGGAAUUACUGGGCGUAAAGCGAUGCGUUGAGCGGUUUGUGGAAGAAAGAUGUGAAUCCCAGAGCCACUUUGGAACUGGUUUGUUCCGAGCUAGAGUGUGUCAGAGGGAGGUGGAAUUCCGCGUGUGAUGAAAUGCGUAGAUAUGCGGAGGAACACCGAUGGCGAAGGCAGCCUCUGGGAUAACACUGACGCUCAUGCACGAAAAGCGUGGAGCAAACGGGAUUAGAUACCCUGGUAGUCCACGCCCUAAACGAUGUCAACUAGCUAUUGGGAGCCUUCGGGCCUUGGUAGCGCAGCUGACGCGUGGAGGACGUGACCGCCACAAGAAUACGGUCGCAAGAUUAAAACUCAAAGGAAUUGACGGGACCACACAAGCAGUGGAUGAUGUGGAUUAAUUCGAUGCAACGCGAAAACCUUACCUACCCUUGACAUGUCUGAAUCCCGAAGAGAUUUGGGAGUGCUCGCAAGAGAACCGGAACACAGGUGCUGCAUGGCUGUCGUCAGCUCGUGUCGUGAGAUGUUGGGUUAAGUCCCGCAACAGGCGCAACCCUUGUCAUUAGUUGCUACGAAGAGGGCACUCUAAUAGGACUGCCGGUAUGAAGCCGGAGGAAGGUGGGGAUGACGUUAAGUCCUCAUAGCCCUUAUGGUGGGGCUUCACACGUCAUACAAUGGUCAGGACAGAGGGUCGCCAACCCGUUGAGAGGCCAAUCCCAGAAACCCGAUCGUAGUCCGGAUCGCAGUCUGCAACUCGACUGCGUGAAGUCGGAAUCGCUAGUAAUCGCGGAUCAGCAUGUCGCAGUGAAUACGUUCCCGGGUCUUAUGCUGUUUCUUCAUGUUGCCGGAUGGGUUUUACCGAAGUAGUUAGCCUAACCGUAAGGGGAGAGUGGACUACCACGGUAAAUUCAUGACUGGGGUGAAGUCAUGUGGAUAAA